Molecule: transfer RNA, 86 nt
Filed under: Candidatus Aceula lacicola
Lineage: Bacteria; Pseudomonadati; Candidatus Omnitrophota
Description: tRNA-Tyr
Rfam family: tRNA
About the family: Transfer RNA (tRNA) molecules are approximately 80 nucleotides in length. Their secondary structure includes four short double-helical elements and three loops (D, anti-codon, and T loops).
Source: RNAcentral
GGGCAGAUACUCAAGUGGUCAACGAGGGCAGACUGUAAAUCUGCUGCGCUUGCGCUACGGAGGUUCAAAUCCUUCUCUGCCCACCA